RNAcentral lists this long non-coding RNA (658 nucleotides) under Homo sapiens (human). Its description in RNAcentral is "non-protein coding lnc-BCAT2-1:1". The record is from RNAcentral. Lineage: Eukaryota; Metazoa; Chordata; Mammalia; Primates; Hominidae.
GCCACUAAUGGACUCCAUGCACUGGUGGUAGUGGCCCCCUGGGCCCAGCUGUCUUUCAUACUCUCUCUUAGUUUCAUGUCUUUCUUUCUACAAUCUCUCAUCUCCACACACGAAGAGAAAACCCACAAGGCCCUGUAGGGCUGGACGCUACAAGGAACCUCUCCCACCCCCAUACUUUAGGGACUUUUAUGGAGACUUCAGCGCAUAAGUAGGAUAGAUUAGUAAUUCCAGCUCCAGUUCCCUCUUCUUCCGGAAAGAUGUGGAGUGGGAUGGGGCUACAGGUUCCAUGCUUCUAAUAUUGACUGAGUCUUGCUGGUGAUCAGCCCCCAUCAGGAGCCCACCAAGAGUCACCUCAUUAGAAAAAAAGGUGCUCUCAGCUGGGUGUGGUGGCUCACGCCUGUAAUCCCAGCACUUUGGGAGGCCAAGGGGGUAGAUCACCUGAAGUCAGGAGUUCCAGACCAACCUUGCCAACAUGGUGAAACCCCCGUCUCUACUAAAAAUACAAAAAUUAGCCAGGCAUGGUGGCGGGCACCUGUAGUCCCAGCUACUUGGGAGGCUGAAGCAGGAGACUUGCUUGAACCCAGGAGGCAGAGGUUGCAGUGUGUGGAGAUUGCACCACUGCACUCCAGCCUGGUGACAGAGCAAGACGCUGUCUCAA